UCCUGGCUCAGAUUGAACGCUGGCGGCAUGCUUUACACAUGCAAGUCGAACGGCAGCACGAAAGAGCUUGCUCUUUUGGUGGCGAGUGGCGAACGGGUGAGUAAUACAUUGGAACGUACCGAGUAAUGGGGGAUAACUGUCCGAAAGGAUGGCUAAUACCGCAUACGCUCUGAGGAGGAAAGCGGGGGACCUUCGGGCCUCGCGUUAUUCGAGCGGCCAAUGUCUGAUUAGCUAGUUGGUGGGGUAAAGGCCUACCAAGGCGACGAUCAGUAGUGGGUCUGAGAGGAUGAUCCGCCACACUGGGACUGAGACACGGCCCAGACUCCUACGGGAGGCAGCAGUGGGGAAUUUUGGACAAUGGGCGAAAGCCUGAUCCAGCCAUGCCGCGUGUCUGAAGAAGGCCUUCGGGUUGUAAAGGACUUUUGUCAGGGAAGAAAGGGUUUGGGUUAAUACCCUAAGCUUA
This 463-nucleotide ribosomal RNA is filed under the name Neisseria arctica. RNAcentral describes it as "bacterial SSU rRNA". It matches the Rfam family "Bacterial small subunit ribosomal RNA", at positions 17 to 476 of the family's 1533-position model. The record is from RNAcentral. Lineage: Bacteria; Pseudomonadati; Pseudomonadota; Betaproteobacteria; Neisseriales; Neisseriaceae.